UACUCGAGUGGCGAACGGGUGAGUAACACGUGGGUGAUCUGCCCUGCACUUCGGGAUAAGCUUGGGAAACUGGGUCUAAUACCGGAUAGGAACCGUCUUUAGUGUGGUGGUUGGAAAGUUUUUUCGGUGCAAGAUGAGCUCGUGGCCUAUCAGCUUGUUGGUGGGGUAAUGGCCUACCAAGGCGUCGACGGGUAGCCGGCCUGAGAGGGUGUACGGCCACAUUGGGACUGAGAUACGGCCCAG
This 243-nucleotide ribosomal RNA is filed under the name uncultured Actinomycetales bacterium. Its description in RNAcentral is "partial 16S ribosomal RNA". It matches the Rfam family "Bacterial small subunit ribosomal RNA", at positions 88 to 334 of the family's 1533-position model. The record is from RNAcentral. Lineage: Bacteria; Bacillati; Actinomycetota; Actinomycetes; Actinomycetales.